CCUGCCCUGAGAGGCCUUGCUGGUAUGGCUGCUGUGUCACAUGUGUGCCAGUAGGUGGCAGAGAAGAGAGAGGCUAUGUCCAAGCUCAGUGUUCAGACCUGAAGGAUUAGUAGCCUAACGCU
Small nucleolar RNA from Rattus norvegicus (Norway rat), 122 nucleotides. Ensembl annotates it as small nucleolar RNA SNORA17. NCBI's taxonomy places the organism in Eukaryota, Metazoa, Chordata, Mammalia, Rodentia, Muridae. The record is from Ensembl.